GGGACACGUGGUAUCCUGUCUGAAUAUGGGGGGACCAUCCUCCAAGGCUAAAUACUCCUGACUGACCGAUAGUGAACCAGUACCGUGAGGGAAAGGCGAAAAGAACCCCGGCGAGGGGAGUGAAAAAGAACCUGAAACCGUGUACGUACAAGCAGUGGGAGCACCCUUUGGGGUGUGACUGCGUACCUUUUGUAUAAUGGGUCAGCGACUUAUAUUCUGUAGCAAGGUUAACCGAAUAGGGGAGCCGUAGGGAAACCGAGUCUUAACCGGGCGUUAAGUUGCAGGGUAUAGACCCGAAACCCGGUGAUCUAGCCAUGGGCAGGUUGAAGGUUGGGUAACACUAACUGGAGGACCGAACCGACUAAUGUUGAAAAAUUAGCGGAUGACCUGUGGCUGGGGGUGAAAGGCCAAUCAAACCGGGAGAUAGCUGGUUCUCCCCGAAAGCUAUUUAGGUAGCGCCUCGUGAAUUCAUCUCCGGGGGUAGAGCACUGUUUCGGCUAGGGGGCCAUCCCGGCUUACCAACCCGAUGCAAACUGCGAAUACCGGAGAAUGUUAUCACGGGAGACACACGGCGGGUGCUAACGUCCGUCGUGAAGAGGGAAACAACCCAGACCGCCAGCUAAGGUCCCAAAGUCAUGGUUAAGUGGGAAACGAUGUGGGAAGGCCCAGACAGCCAGGAUGUUGGCUUAGAAGCAGCCAUCAUUUAAAGAAAGCGUAAUAGCUCACUGGUCGAGUCGGCCUGCGCGGAAGAUGUAACGGGGCUAAACCAUGCACCGAAGCUGCGGCAGCGACACUGUGUGUUGUUGGGUAGGGGAGCGUUCUGUAAGCCUGUGAAGGUGUGUCGUGAGGCAUGCUGGAGGUAUCAGAAGUGCGAAUGCUGACAUAAGUAACGAUAAAGCGGGUGAAAAGCCCGCUCGCCGGAAGACCAAGGGUUCCUGUCCAACGUUAAUCGGGGCAGGGUGAGUCGACCCCUAAGGCGAGGCCGAAAGGCGUAGUCGAUGGGAAACGGGUUAAUAUUCCCGUACUUGGUGUUACUGCGAAGGGGGGACGGAGAAGGCUAUGUUGGCCGGGCGACGGUUGUCCCGGUUUAAGCGUGUAGGUGUGUGUUCCAGGUAAAUCCGGUUCACUUUAACACUGAGGCGUGAUGACGAGGCACUACGGUGCUGAAGCAACAAAUGCCCUGCUUCCAGGAAAAGCCUCUAAGCAUCAGGUAACAUCAAAUCGUACCCCAAACCGACACAGGUGGUCAGGUAGAGAAUACCAAGGCGCUUGAGAGAACUCGGGUGAAGGAACUAGGCAAAAUGGUGCCGUAACUUCGGGAGAAGGCACGCUGACACGUAGGUGAAGUGAUUUACUCAUGGAGCUGAAGUCAGUCGAAGAUACCAGCUGGCUGCAACUGUUUAUUAAAAACACAGCACUGUGCAAACACGAAAGUGGACGUAUACGGUGUGACGCCUGCCCGGUGCCGGAAGGUUAAUUGAUGGGGUCAGCGCAAGCGAAGCUCCUGAUCGAAGCCCCGGUAAACGGCGGCCGUAACUAUAACGGUCCUAAGGUAGCGAAAUUCCUUGUCGGGUAAGUUCCGACCUGCACGAAUGGCGUAAUGAUGGCCAGGCUGUCUCCACCCGAGACUCAGUGAAAUUGAACUCGCUGUGAAGAUGCAGUGUACCCGCGGCAAGACGGAAAGACCCCGUGAACCUUUACUAUAGCUUGACACUGAACAUUGAGCCUUGAUGUGUAGGAUAGGUGGGAGGCUUUGAAGCGUGGACGCCAGUCUGCGUGGAGCCGACCUUGAAAUACCACCCUUUAAUGUUUGAUGUUCUAACGUGGACCCGUGAUCCGGGUUGCGGACAGUGUCUGGUGGGUAGUUUGACUGGGGCGGUCUCCUCCUAAAGAGUAACGGAGGAGCACGAAGGUUGGCUAAUCCUGGUCGGACAUCAGGAGGUUAGUGCAAUGGCAUAAGCCAGCUUGACUGCGAGCGUGACGGCGCGAGCAGGUGCGAAAGCAGGUCAUAGUGAUCCGGUGGUUCUGAAUGGAAGGGCCAUCGCUCAACGGAUAAAAGGUACUCCGGGGAUAACAGGCUGAUACCGCCCAAGAGUUCAUAUCGACGGCGGUGUUUGGCACCUCGAUGUCGGCUCAUCACAUCCUGGGGCUGAAGUAGGUCCCAAGGGUAUGGCUGUUCGCCAUUUAAAGUGGUACGCGAGCUGGGUUUAGAACGUCGUGAGACAGUUCGGUCCCUAUCUGCCGUGGGCGCUGGAGAACUGAGGGGGGCUGCUCCUAGUACGAGAGGACCGGAGUGGACGCAUCACUGGUGUUCGGGUUGUCAUGCCAAUGGCACUGCCCGGUAGCUAAAUGCGGAAGAGAUAAGUGCUGAAAGCAUCUAAGCACGAAACUUGCCCCGA
This 2399-nucleotide ribosomal RNA is filed under the name Salmonella enterica subsp. enterica. RNAcentral's name for it is "partial 23S ribosomal RNA". It matches the Rfam family "Bacterial large subunit ribosomal RNA", at positions 419 to 2802 of the family's 2925-position model. The record is from RNAcentral. Lineage: Bacteria; Pseudomonadati; Pseudomonadota; Gammaproteobacteria; Enterobacterales; Enterobacteriaceae.